Myripristis murdjan (pinecone soldierfish) is the source of this 1334-nucleotide long non-coding RNA. RefSeq lists it as uncharacterized. NCBI's taxonomy places the organism in Eukaryota, Metazoa, Chordata, Actinopteri, Holocentriformes, Holocentridae. The transcript has 4 exons. The record is from RefSeq and is a predicted model, not a curated record.
GGCUGCUGCUCUAUCUUUCCAUCUGUCGAAGAAUGUGACCAGGUAAAGCCGGAAUAACGGGAGAGGAAAGUCCCCGUUUGAUCUGUGUGGAUUAAAAAGUAGACUCCUUCUCUUUUGGGAAGCAUUCUCCACUGCUCCCACAUGUAAGACGGACAGUUAGAAGCAAGUUGUAUGACAGUGGGACUUUCCAGAUGGCCAGGUUGUGGAUGGGCAUGAUUUUGCUCUUUGUCGCAGGGAUUUUGCCAUUCAGGGCCUCAUCAGUCUUUGUUCCAGGGUCGGAAUUGGAUUGUGGGCCCAAUAAUACAGUAGAGGCUGCAGCUGGUCAUAACCUGACUCUACACUGUUCUAUAAAUUUGUCAGCAGUCAAAAAGAAAUGUGACAUUGAACAUUACAUGUGGAGAGUAAAAUCAACUGGCAAAACAAUUUGCGAACAGAAGAACGGCAUCAAAGAAGACACACGGAACACAACAGAAAAGCAAACAUACACUUGCGGAUGGGACAAAACUAUGCAAAUGUUGUAUCUCGACAUCUCAAGAUUGGAGGAAGUUAAAGAGGAAAUCUACAAAAUUGCAGUACAAUCAUCAGACUGUGGUCCUAUUUAUUCUGAGGUCACAGUGUUGGUUAUAAAUCCAGACAAAGUGAGAGGUCAGGACAAAGCUAGUCCAGUGACAUCCCUGCACCUGGUUGCCAUUAUUGGUGCCCUCGCUUUUGUGGGAGGUUUGGCAUUCUUGGUUACGACACAGAGAGGCAGAAAAUUCAUGAGCCGUGUGUGGCACAUGAUUGUCGGCCAAACCAACACCGAAGCCGAACCUCGCAGCGAGGCUUCAGAACCCUUAAGAAAUGUGUGAUUUUGUGUUUGUGUAUGUACAUGUGUGUGUAUAAAUGUACAGAUCUGUUGUUCUCAUCAAUGAGCUCUACACUGCCACUGAGCAGGCAGCUUCAUGCAUCUGAAACACACAAUGCCCUAAUAAUGUCACAGCUCCUUUCGCCUUUCCGGCCACCGAGUUAAAACUGGCUUUUAACGUAAAAUGUUACAGACCUUUUUGUUGUUGGUUUGGUUUUUUUUUUAUUUUUUGGUUUGGUUAACCAUGCAGCUAAGUUCUUUGGGUUCUCAGAGGUUUUAUACAUACCUAUUUAUGUAAGCACCAGUUGAUCUGGUGCAAUUUAAUUUCUAUGCAGAACCUGUAUUAUUUUUGUACUUUUUAACACAAAAAGCAUGCAAAAGUAAAUGUUGUAUUGUUAACACUAUAUUAUGAAAGGAAAUCCAAGCUUGUAAAAUUAUGAUUAACACUAUGAAAGCCAUAGAGACCAUGGGUGCUCCUUUAUUUUGAUUU